RNAcentral lists this transfer RNA (73 nucleotides) under Labilibaculum euxinicum. RNAcentral's name for it is "Labilibaculum euxinus tRNA-Lys". It matches the Rfam family "tRNA". Rfam says of the family: Transfer RNA (tRNA) molecules are approximately 80 nucleotides in length. Their secondary structure includes four short double-helical elements and three loops (D, anti-codon, and T loops). Further hydrogen bonds mediate the characteristic L-shaped molecular structure. tRNAs have two regions of fundamental functional importance: the anti-codon, which is responsible for specific mRNA codon recognition, and the 3' end, to which the tRNAs corresponding amino acid is attached (by aminoacyl-tRNA synthetases). tRNAs cope with the degeneracy of the genetic code in two manners: having more than one tRNA (with a specific anti-codon) for a particular amino acid; and 'wobble' base-pairing, i.e. permitting non-standard base-pairing at the 3rd anti-codon position. The record is from RNAcentral. Lineage: Bacteria; Pseudomonadati; Bacteroidota; Bacteroidia; Marinilabiliales; Marinifilaceae.
GAUUCCUUAGCUCAGCUGGCAGAGCACAUCACUUUUAAUGAUGGGGUCCUGGGUUCGAGCCCCAGAGGGAUCA